CGCCUGUUUAUCAAAAACAUCUCUUCUCGUUAGUUUUUGAAGUAUGGCCUGCCCACUGACCUUGAAUGUUGAAGGGCCGCGGUAUUUUGACCGUGCAAAGGUAGCAUAGUCAUUAGUUCUUUAAUUGUGAUCUGGUAUGAAUGGCUUGACGAGGCAUAAGCUGUCUUAAUUUUGAAUUGUUUAUUGAAUUUGGUCUUUGAGUUAAAAUUCUUAGAUGUUUUUAUGGGACGAGAAGACCCUAUAGAGUUUGACAUUUAUUAUGGUCUCUUUCUGUUUGUGAGGGUUCACUAGGGCUGUUUAAUAUGUUUUGUUGGGGUGAUGGGAGGGAUAUUAUUUAACCCCUCCUUUGUGUUGUUAUAUUUAUUUAUAUUUUCUUGAUCCAUUUAUUUUGAUUGUAAGAUUAAAUUACCUUAGGGAUAACAGCGUAA
This 428-nucleotide ribosomal RNA is filed under the name Reticulitermes flavipes (eastern subterranean termite). RNAcentral's name for it is "partial 16S ribosomal RNA". It matches the Rfam family "Archaeal large subunit ribosomal RNA", at positions 1889 to 2554 of the family's 2987-position model. Lineage: Eukaryota; Metazoa; Arthropoda; Insecta; Blattodea; Rhinotermitidae. The record is from RNAcentral.